Molecule: ribosomal RNA, 1069 nt
Filed under: uncultured eukaryote
Lineage: Eukaryota
Description: bacterial SSU rRNA
Rfam family: Eukaryotic small subunit ribosomal RNA (bases 1-953)
Source: RNAcentral
UGGUGAUAUUGUGUCUUAAAAGUAAGGAUCCCGGAUCUUUUGUUUGAAAAAUUAAGGGUUAAAAUCAAGGCUGGAUGCCGUAUUUUCGAGCUCGUAACAUAGAAUCGGGACUAGCGAUAACAUCUGGUGGAAAUGCGUAUCACGAUAAUGUUUUAUAGAGACUGUAAGAGGCUCUCGUAUUGCACUUGAAGAGUAGAAAUUCUGAGAGUCUGUGAAGAUCAUUUGUGCGAUAGCAAUAUGCCACGGAUGUGAUCCGUCAUCUAAGAUUGAAGGUUUGGAUAUCGAAUAUAGUCUAGAUGUCGAGCGUAGUCUGAACAGUAUAAUAUGCUGAAUAGGGAUGGGUCGAUGUUAUCUUUGUGAAUCGAUCAGAUCCUCUAAGAGGAAAUCAAAGUUCAUGGCUUUUCGGGGGAGUAGGGUGGCAAGCCUGACAGUUACAGAAUUCGACUGAGGGGCUCCUACAGGAGUGGAGCUUGAGGUUUAAUAUGGUUGAACGAGGGGAAGCUCAUCAGGUCCACAGAUAGGAAGGACAGACAGUCUUAUAGAUGGGUUUUGAUUUGAUGUCAGUUGAAGCAUGGGCGGUUAUAGCUGGAGGAGGGAUCAGUUUGUCUAUUUCUGAUAGCGUAGGGGACGUUUACUUGGUAAAUAGGCCACUUGCCUAGGAUGGGGUGCUGGUUUCUCAGAGUGACUAUCGGGGAUAAAACAAUGGAUGUCUGUGGCAAUAACAGGUCUGGGUAGGCCUUUGAUGUUAUGGUCGGCACGCGAUAUGCCAGGUAGGAGACCAGAAGAGUCUUUUCCUUGUCGGGCAGGAGAUGGUAGUAGUGAUCAUGUUUGUCGUGCAGGGGAUGAUAGCAAUGUAAUAAAUGCUCUCCUUCGAGGAAGUCGUGGUAAGUGUGCGUCUUUAACUUGUGGAGAUUACGUACUUAUCCAUGGAGCACAACCCCUGUAGUUAAUUAUGAUUGAAUGAAUGAGCCAUUCGCAGUUUCAGCAGUAUAAGUGUGUUUAUACUAAGGCAGGCAGGGGUUAAUUUAGGAAACAAGCGGUCUGUUUGAUAAAGGAAUCGUCGCUGGUA